AUUGAACGCUGGCGGCAGGCCUAACACAUGCAAGUCGAGCGCGCGGCGGACGGGUUAGUAAUGUAUGGGGACUGCCCGAUAGAGGGGGUUACCUACUGGAACCGGUGGCUCAUACCGCGUACUGUCGGAUAACCCAUAUGUGAUUCGCUAUUAGGUAAGGUACUGGCUUACCUAGGCGCCUAUCCCUAGCUGGUCUGAGAGGGUGAGCAGGCAGAAGGGGACUGAGACACGGCCCAGACGCCUACGGAGGCAGCAGUGGGGAAUAUUGCACAAUGGGCGCAAGCUUGAUGGAGCCAUGCCGCGUGUAUGAAGAAGUCCCUAGGGUUGUAAAGUACUUUCAGUCGGUAGUCGUUACCGACAGAAGAAGCAACGGCUAACUCCGUGCCAGCAGCCGCGGUAAUUC
This 403-nucleotide ribosomal RNA is filed under the name uncultured bacterium. RNAcentral's name for it is "partial 16S ribosomal RNA". It matches the Rfam family "Bacterial small subunit ribosomal RNA", at positions 30 to 526 of the family's 1533-position model. The record is from RNAcentral.